GUCAGGAUGGCCGAGCGGGUCUUCUCACAAUUUCAGAGCUUCUUAAAAUUACUUUUCAUUUAAUUUAAUAUAAGAAUCUUUUCUUUUUUACUGGAUAAACUAAGGCGCCAGACUAAGGUUCUGGUCCACUGAUGUGGGCGUGGGUUCGAAUCCCACUCCUGACA
Molecule: non-coding RNA, 164 nt
Organism: Trichonephila clavipes
Lineage: Eukaryota; Metazoa; Arthropoda; Arachnida; Araneae; Nephilidae
Source: the annotation of a GenBank genome assembly